Long non-coding RNA from Wasmannia auropunctata (little fire ant), 2712 nucleotides. RefSeq lists it as uncharacterized. The record is from RefSeq and is a predicted model, not a curated record. The transcript has 2 exons. NCBI's taxonomy places the organism in Eukaryota, Metazoa, Arthropoda, Insecta, Hymenoptera, Formicidae.
UAUAUUUAUAUAUUUAUAUACGUAUGUAUCAUUACUAAUCUUCUACUUAUCUCUAAGCUUCCACAUCCUCGCGAAUCGCAUUUCAUACAUACUUCAUCUUCUACCAGAUCUCCCCUCGAACGAGGAGACCUAUUGUGUGUUCCUAGGUUCAUUUUUCUGUUUCAAUUUAUAAGUAACUGGCUAAACUCCUCUCUCCUGUUAAAUAUACAGACAAAUAACUCGGGAUUCGAGGAAUUGAAAUGAAAUAAUGCAUGAAACAUCGUUACAUCUCCCGCGACACUCCGUUAAACAACGCAAAAGAAUCACGCGAAGCCUAUUAAUCGAAUAACGUUCUUCUCGCACGACCCCCGUUUAUAACAAUGCCGGACAAACGAAUUCAUUUACACCGAGUCGAAAGUCGCUCUAAAUCGACCACAUUCGAUCGCGUCAUUGUCUUGGAUGGAAUCCGUUCCUUAUUGGCUUAAACAACAUGAACGUCACGAGCUUCUUGAACACGUUUAUACAAAUCUUGGUUUUUUUUUUACUUAUUUUCCUUUUAUUAAAGCAUCAACGCUCGAUAAUAAUAUUGUAAGCUUAUUAGACUUCUGACUUUUUUUUUGAACACCGAGCUACCGCUACACCUCUCAUUCUCUCCCUCUCUCCCGCUCUCGUUUGCUCACACAUUUAUACAUCCAUACAUGCAUACGCAUACACUCAUUUUCUCUCUCUCUCUCUCUCUCUUCCGUUCUCUCUCCCUCUCUCUCUCUCUCAUUCUUGAAAAAUAUUUCGUGGUGCACGAUAUCGCCCUGUUUUUCAUGCAUUACUUGAUUCCAACGUUUAGUACAAUUCUACGAUCUUAAUAUCGCGAGUGUCUCCCAACUAGUGUGUCGUCAACAUGAUUAUUUAAAACUCGCUAAUAAGGUGAACAUCCUUACACGUCUGCCUCUCUUACGUCUUUGUCUUUUCGUCGCGUGUCACGUGUGCACGCACGUGUUUUGUGUAUAUAACCGUGUCCGAGUCUGUGUGCAAGGGGGACCACCUUCCUAUCGUUAAUGAAUACCGUUUUGUGCGUCUUCUAACGAUUAACCAUCACAAUGACCAACGGUGCCUAGUUUACAAUUAAUAUCUUUGGUAUCAUGCCUGAGUCUUCCGUUUACGAAAAAAAUCACUAAACAAUUAUUCAUAGAAUCUUGUUUGGGUUACGGUCACGAGUUGCCGUUUGUCGUAUCAAACUUAGAAAAGGAUUCGUCCUUCGCGCGACGCGAAACAAGCGAUUAGAAAUGCUACUUAUAGCUCCCGAGGGAUAAUUAAGUGUACGACAAGGAAUGUCGGAUUGAUUAUAUGGCAGCUUCGAACCACGUGGAAAAUAUGACCACGGGAAAUGAUGUUCCUGCUAUCGCUAUUUGUUUCAAGCACAAAAUAUCGGUUUUUAUCUUAAAGUCUACGCCUCAUGGCAGUUUGGAUAAUUUCCACCUUUAUUCAGCGCGUUGACAGUCAAUGAAAUACCUAUGGGUAUACUCACGUCAUUUUCUUUUUCUUAUGAAUUCGUGCUGAUUCACGAGGACUAUAUUCGAUUAUGCUACUAAUAGAGUCAACAAUUCGCUUUGUGAUAAACUUUCGUUAGUUCUUUAGAGCGAAGUGUAAUAAAGAAUAAUUUGUGCUUGGAACGGUGAUCACUUAAGUGAUAAUAAAAAGGUUUGAUCCAAAUUUUUACGAAAGAAAAAUCUCUCGUCCACGUCGAUCGUAAAAACUUCUAAAAAAAAAAAUAAAAUAAAUAAAUGCAUUGUGAGACUCGCCCUUAGGGGAUCCUUUCAGUCUUAUUUUAGGGAUAAUUUUUCGGCGAGCUCUCGGGAUGUAUUUCAAUAUGGAAUUGAUAAAUUGAACAAGUUAAUGAUUAAUUUAAAAAAAAAAGAGUGAUAAUAGAAUCUAUAAAAGUUUACAACCUGUAGUAUGUAUCCGUGUAUUUGUGUGCGUGUCGAAGAGUUUGGGUUCGAUUGUUCACGAAAAUUCCACGAUCGGUGAAAGACAGUCUGCUGGAAUGUAGUUUCUUUGUUUUUUUUUUUUUUCGCGACGCCGUAGAAUUGCGGGAGACAGAGAUGUCAGAAAUCAAUGAUAUAUGCGCGUCACGGUGACGCGCAAUUACUGUACGCGUAAAAUGGAUACAAAAAACCGUAGAAAAAAUAUUUACAAAGCGCAACGACGAAUUCUUGUGAACAAAAGACCGUGAGAUUCCAUCACCACGUGCGUCCGUGUCUCGUCUCUUCAGAUCCGUCGAGAGAGCCCGAUGAGUGAGAAAAGCCCUCCCCACGUUUCUCUUACCCCUUCCGACGCUCAGAGAGCGUCUCGCGUCAUAUAGAAUAUAUCACAUACAUGUUUACUUCUCUAAACACACUGAAAUAAGAAGCACUUUAAGAUAGAUGUCUACAUACACCAUCGGGCCCAGGCGUUGAGAACGCGCGUCUCCGAAGCAUACACAGAACUAGAACCGACAUUCGCAUACAAGAAACUAGAAAGUAAUAUCGUCUUGAAUGACUAUUUUAACAUAUCCAAUGGACAGCAACAACGUAAUUGUCUGCUGCACGGAUACAUUAAUUAACACAUCCUUAAUGCAAUAUAGCAAUCUCCACGAUUUUAUGCAUAAUUUAAAUUUUUGCAUAAUGUGUUAUGCAACAAAAAUCACUGGAUAAAAUUCAUAUUUAUAUCGAAAUAUUAAAAUGUAUAAAUUACAUUAAA